This 433-nucleotide ribosomal RNA is filed under the name uncultured bacterium. RNAcentral describes it as "partial 16S ribosomal RNA". It matches the Rfam family "Bacterial small subunit ribosomal RNA", at positions 29 to 507 of the family's 1533-position model. The record is from RNAcentral.
AACGAACGCUGGCGGCAUGCCUAACACAUGCAAGUCGAACGAGACCUUCGGGUCUAGUGGCGCACGGGUGCGUAACGCGUGGGAACCUGCCCUUAGGAUCGGAAUAACUUCCCGAAAGGGGUGCUAAUACCGGAUAAUGUCUUCGGACCAAAGAUUUAUGGCCUUUGGAUGGGCCCGCGUUGGAUUAGCUAGUUGGUAGGGUAAAAGCCUACCAAGGCGACGAUCCAUAGCUGGUCUGAGAGGAUGAUCAGCCACACUGGGACUGAGACACGGCCCAGACUCCUACGGGAGGCAGCAGUGGGGAAUAUUGGACAAUGGGCGAAAGCCUGAUCCAGCAAUGCCGCGGGAGUGAUGAAGGCCUUAGGGUUGUAAAGCUCUUUUACCCGGGAUGAUAAUGACAGUAGCGGGAGAAUAAGCUCCGGCUAACUCCGUG